GUAGGGAAUAUUGGACAAUGGGGGGAACCCUGAUCCAGCCAUGCCGCGUGGAGGAAGACUGCCCUCUGGGUUGUAAACUCCUUUUAUAUGGGAAGAACCGUCCUCAUUAAUGAGUGACCUGACGGUACCAUAGGAAUAAGCACCGACUAACUCCGUGCCAGCAGCCGCGGUAAUACGGAGGGUGCAAGCGUUAUCCGGAUUCACUGGGUUUAAAGGGUGCGUAGGCGGAUAAAUAAGUCAGUGGUGAAAUCAACGGGCUCAACCUGUUAACUGCCAUUGAUACUGUGUAUCUUGAAUAUGAGAGAGGUAGGCGGAAUGUUGCAUGUAGCGGUGAAAUGCUUAGAUAUGCUACGGAACACCGAUUGCGAAGGCAGCUUACUAUUUCGUAAUUGACGCUGAGGCACGAAAGCGUGGGUAGCGAACAGGAUUAGAAACCCUUGUAGUCC
This 446-nucleotide ribosomal RNA is filed under the name uncultured bacterium. RNAcentral's name for it is "partial 16S ribosomal RNA". It matches the Rfam family "Bacterial small subunit ribosomal RNA", at positions 354 to 796 of the family's 1533-position model. The record is from RNAcentral.